GACGAACGCUGGCGGCGUGCUUAACACAUGCAAGUCGAACGGAAAGGCCCUGCUUUUGUGGGGUGCUCGAGUGGCGAACGGGUGAGUAACACGUGAGUAACCUGCCCUUGACUUUGGGAUAACUUCAGGAAACUGGGGCUAAUACCGGCUAGGAGCUCCUGCUGCAUGGUGGGGGUUGGAAAGUUUCGGCGGUUGGGGAUGGACUGGCGGCUUAUCAGCUUGUUGGUGGGGUAGUGGCUUACCAAGGCUUUGACGGGUAGCCGGCCUGAGAGGGUGACCGGCCACAUUGGGACUGAGAUACGGCACAGACUCCUACGGGAGGCAGCAGUGGGGAAUAUUGCACAAUGGGCGGAAGCCUGAUGCAGCAACGCCGCGUGCGGGAUGACGGCCUUCGGGUUGUAAACCGCUUUCGCCUGUGACGAAGCGUGAGUGACGGUAAUGGGUAAAGAAGCACCGGCUAACUACGUG
This 468-nucleotide ribosomal RNA is filed under the name uncultured bacterium. RNAcentral's name for it is "partial 16S ribosomal RNA". It matches the Rfam family "Bacterial small subunit ribosomal RNA", at positions 28 to 507 of the family's 1533-position model. The record is from RNAcentral.